AGGCCGGAGUGGCUGGCAGAGUCGCCCUCCAGUGAAGGCAGAGAGGACUGUGCUUGGCUUUCAGACUUUAAAGACCCUGUGGAUGUAGAGGCCCUUCUGGGGGACCCUCUUAUUCUUCAAGGAGAUGAGGCGUGAAGAUUGGUGUUCUGCAGUUUUGUAGACUUGGUAAACCUGGAGUUUGGCUAGAGCCGCAGCCUCGGGGCCAGUACUCCUGCCGUCUGGAGCAUCUAUGGGUGUUCACCCUAGACGUGUUUGCAGUGGGCACUGCCAGGCUGCCGGGCGGUGUGUCUGCUGGAGCCGUUCUCGGGAAACCCCACAGCUGGGCUGCUGAGAGCAAGGAUCUGUCCAGUCUUUCUCCUAUCCUUUGACUGUAUCCACUCAAUAUCUCUGAGGUCCUCCCCCUCUGCCCCAGGCACGGUGCUAAGCAUGGAGAUGCAUGCGUGGACAGCUCAGCCCAGACUCCAGGGGCUGACAGUCCGGUUGGGGAGGGCCAUGUGUCACCAGCGGACCUGCGGAGUGAUGGCGAGCUCAGGGAACCCGGGGAGGGUGGCCGGUAACUCCUAGGAGCCUUUGGGCUGCAAGUACCUCAGAGGGUGGAGCCCUGCUGAGAGGUUGGAUAUUUAGUGGCCACGCCCCCAUCCCUUUGCCCUGAGGGUCACCUUUGCCCUCAGCCCACCUGUGCUCCCCUCGUCCCGCCCACCUCCACACACUAUUCCUGGGAAAGGCUUGGGGGUGAGUCGUUUUGGCUUGGGCACUUUCCUCAACUGCCUUCCAGAAACCCCCAUUCUGGGGCCCCCUCUUCCUCACCAGUCUGUCCCCCUCAGUCCCCUCUGCUGGUUCUUCUCACAGACCUCGCUAAGGAUUCUGGAGCCCCCUCAGGACUCAGGCCUUUGUCCCUUCACUUCCCUCUGCACUCAGACCCUCAGGGACCUCAUCUGGUCUUGUGACGUUCAAUAUUAUCUAUAUAAUAUCCAGGACUUGCAAACACACCCCCGUCCAGACCCCUCCUCCAAGCCCAGGCUUGGACUCCAACACCUGCUCCACUCCCCUCUGCAAUGUCUAAUAGACAUCCCUAAACUAAUUCCCAGUUUUCUCUCUCUCCGCCCCCGACACCCAAAUCUGCUCCAGCAGAGUUCCCCUCAGCCAGCUCAGUGAUGAGACUUCAUUCCUCCAGCUGCUGGGGGCCUGAGCCUGGGGGCCACGUGAUGCCUCUCUUUCUCGCACAGCCAGUGCCCCACCUGAUGGGGAGCAUGGUUGGUGCCACCUUUAGACACAUCCAGGGUCCGCCCACACCCAUCACCCCACCACUUCCUCCUUCAGCUCUUGCCUCCAUCAUUGCAAUAGCCUCUCAGUGGAUUUUCCUGAUCCCGCUUUUAAAUCCCUAAAGCCUAUUCUUAACACAGAAGCCAGAACACCCUUUUCAAAGAUGUCGGAGUCUGGCCCUCCUCUGCCCCAAACACUGCAAGGGCCCAUCUCACUCACACCCACGUUGCCCACAGGCCUCAAGGCCCCACUUGAUCGGGCCCUGCUCCCUCCAACCUCACCUCCCGCCAUGCUCUCCUUCCCUCUCUGCUCCAGCCUUGGGCUGCCUUACUGACCCUCAGAGGCCCCAGGCUGGCUCCUGUCCUGGGGCCUGUGCUCAGCCUGAAGAGCUCUUCCCCCAGAUCCACAUGCCUCUCCCUCUCUGCCUUCAAGCUGUUGCUCAAAUACCGCCCUUCACCCGUUUAAAAUCAUAACUUCCCCCACCCCUAGCAAUGAACCACCAUACGCCGCUCUAUUUUUUCGCCCAUAGUACUUAUUAUCUUCUAACAUUGUAUAUGAUUCACUUAUUUAUUAUAUUUAUUACUUGUGGUCAGUCUCUUCCUGCUGGAAUGUAAACGCUAUGUAAAGGAUGGGUUUUAUUGUUUUUAUUCAUUGAUGUAUCCCAAACAUACCCACAACAGCACCAGACACAUAGUAAGCCCUUAAUAAAUGUUUAUUGAAUUGAAUUGAAGUCACCUACACUUUAGUGUAAAUAAAUGUACAUGUUUUCCCUCCCCCUUACAUUGUAAGUUUUUCUCCACUAAUUCAAGAAGGGUUUUCCCCCUGCAUCACAGUGCUCUUGGGAAAAGUAUUUGGCGGGGGUGAGGGGUGGGGCUGUGAGUUUUAUAGUCUUGAAAUAACACUGAGUGGAUGGAAGACCCAUGGUGGAACCAGGACUCAUGGAAGGAGAAGCCGGGAGAGCUGCCUGCUGCCUCCCCAAAGGCAGGGUGUGGCGGUGGCAGCCUCUUGGGUGUGACAGAGAGAAAAGCGACAGCGCCUCACACGUGUUCAUAGUGUGACUACAAGUGAUUGCUCCAAGGACAGCGGUGAGGAGGGAGGUGCGGAGGACCAGACAAGGGCAAAUCCUCGGGGUUGAGUCCUCCAGCCCGUUUUCAUGGCAAGAUGGACCCAGGAAGCAAACUGGACUCUGCAUCAGCAAGGUGUCUGUUCUCUGCGGGACGACCUGCAGAAGCUACUCAGCGGGGCCCCCUUGCAAGACCACCGGGUGGAUUUGAUGUUUAUGCCAUUGUCAGCUUUUUAAAAUGUGUCAUUUAUUGUGAUUUUUUUCUUCAUUCUAAAUAUACAUCCACUUUCUAUACCUAA
Balaenoptera acutorostrata (minke whale) is the source of this 2625-nucleotide long non-coding RNA. RefSeq lists it as uncharacterized. The record is from RefSeq and is a predicted model, not a curated record. The transcript has 2 exons. Lineage: Eukaryota; Metazoa; Chordata; Mammalia; Artiodactyla; Balaenopteridae.